This 1133-nucleotide long non-coding RNA is filed under the name Oryza sativa (Asian cultivated rice). Its description in RNAcentral is "long non-coding RNA (OSAT_LNC000666)". The record is from RNAcentral. Lineage: Eukaryota; Viridiplantae; Streptophyta; Magnoliopsida; Poales; Poaceae.
GACGCCGGCCAGCUUCGCCGUCAGCGUGUCCGUCAGGAGCACGUUCGAUGACCGGACGUUCCGGUGGAUGAUCCGCUGCUCUGCAAACGGCGAGUUUCAGUUUAGAAUUCAGACUUCCACUUCUCAUAUCAUCUUCAUAUCUCUGAAAUUUCAGAGAAUAUAUGUCACUUACCUUUGAAUUCGUGCAGGUAUGUGAUAGCAUGAGCUACGUCGAUCGCGAUGUUGAGCCGUUGCGCAAGUUCUAAACCAUUUCCACAGGAUUCUGCAGUGUGUUGCAUUUGCACAAAUCCUGAUCAAUUCCUCCUACUAGGUACUAGAAUUAUUUCGAAUAGAUAGUAACAGUGGUACUAUUACAGACUAGAAUCUUCUUGGCAUUGUAGUUUACUGCAACUGAAUGAAUCGAUCAGGGGCAAAACGUACCAUCUAAGUGUUCCCUUAAGGAACCAUUGCUGACAUACUCAACGACGGUCAGGCUCUCAUCUUCGCGCUCAAAGAAUCCUAGGAACCUCACUAGAUUCUUAUGAUCAAUUUUCUGAAGAAUUUCAAGCUCUCUCCGAAGCUCAGCUGAUGCAUACUGACUGUUUAACUGUUGCAACAGAAGACAUGGUUACUACUUAUUACCAAGUACCAAUCUCCAACCUACAUACCUCAUGAAAAAUUGCUGAAUAUGCGUAUUCCCUUUGUUUCCAUACCUUUCUGGCACAUUUGAUGGCAAUUUCAGACCCAUCCCUGAGCUUCCCUCUGUAGAUGCUGCUAUAACUUCCCUGCUUUAUUAUGUUCUUGUCACUGAAGUUUGAGGUUGCCUUAAAUAUCUCUGCAACUGUGAGCUCUGUGCUUUCUUGGGGAUACCCUGUCCCUGCUGCACUUAAAUUUGUCAUUUCUCCAUUCUGAUUUUCACACGGUGGGGGAUAUUCAUGUUUAUCUAGUGCUAAAAUAAAAGUAAAUUGCAGUUUUUCACACUAAUUGUUUGCUGCUUGAUAUUUCCCCUUUUAACAGGUGACCUAAGUACAGUUAAUCUGCAAUUAAAUUUACUCUACUUAACCAGCAAAACAACCAAGAACUGAAGAAUUGGAAGGCACCAGAAGGCAGAAUUGCUGGGCAAAUUCCUCGAUAGAGGAAUAGUUCUUACCUGG